Non-coding RNA from Vigna angularis (adzuki bean), 72 nucleotides. The record is from Rfam. NCBI's taxonomy places the organism in Eukaryota, Viridiplantae, Streptophyta, Magnoliopsida, Fabales, Fabaceae.
UCCAUUGUUGUCCAGUGGUUAGGAUAUUUGGUUUUCACUGAGGAAACCCGGGUUCGUUUCCCGGCAAUGGAA